Molecule: ribosomal RNA, 2533 nt
Filed under: human gut metagenome
Description: bacterial LSU rRNA
Rfam family: Bacterial large subunit ribosomal RNA
Source: RNAcentral
AGCGUACACGGUGGAUGCCCUGGCAGUCAGAGGCGAUGAAGGACGUGCUAAUCUGCGAUAAGCGUCGGUAAGGUGAUAUGAACCGUUAUAACCGGCGAUUUCCGAAUGGGGAAACCCAGUGUGUUUCGACACACUAUCAUUAACUGAAUCCAUAGGUUAAUGAGGCGAACCGGGGGAACUGAAACAUCUAAGUACCCCGAGGAAAAGAAAUCAACCGAGAUUCCCCCAGUAGCGGCGAGCGAACGGGGAGCAGCCCAGAGCCUGAAUCAGUGUGUGUGUUAGUGGAAGCGUCUGGAAAGGCGCGCGAUACAGGGUGACAGCCCCGUACACAAAAAUGCACAUGCUGUGAGCUCGAUGAGUAGGGCGGGACACGUGGUAUCCUGUCUGAAUAUGGGGGGACCAUCCUCCAAGGCUAAAUACUCCUGACUGACCGAUAGUGAACCAGUACCGUGAGGGAAAGGCGAAAAGAACCCCGGCGAGGGGAGUGAAAAAGAACCUGAAACCGUGUACGUACAAGCAGUGGGAGCACGCUUAGGCGUGUGACUGCGUACCUUUUGUAUAAUGGGUCAGCGACUUAUAUUCUGUAGCAAGGUUAACCGAAUAGGGGAGCCGAAGGGAAACCGAGUCUUAACUGGGCGUUAAGUUGCAGGGUAUAGACCCGAAACCCGGUGAUCUAGCCAUGGGCAGGUUGAAGGUUGGGUAACACUAACUGGAGGACCGAACCGACUAAUGUUGAAAAAUUAGCGGAUGACUUGUGGCUGGGGGUGAAAGGCCAAUCAAACCGGGAGAUAGCUGGUUCUCCCCGAAAGCUAUUUAGGUAGCGCCUCGUGAAUUCAUCUCCGGGGGUAGAGCACUGUUUCGGCAAGGGGGUCAUCCCGACUUACCAACCCGAUGCAAACUGCGAAUACCGGAGAAUGUUAUCACGGGAGACACACGGCGGGUGCUAACGUCCGUCGUGAAGAGGGAAACAACCCAGACCGCCAGCUAAGGUCCCAAAGUCAUGGUUAAGUGGGAAACGAUGUGGGAAGGCCCAGACAGCCAGGAUGUUGGCUUAGAAGCAGCCAUCAUUUAAAGAAAGCGUAAUAGCUCACUGGUCGAGUCGGCCUGCGCGGAAGAUGUAACGGGGCUAAACCAUGCACCGAAGCUGCGGCAGCGACGCUGAUGCGUUGUUGGGUAGGGGAGCGUUCUGUAAGCCUGCGAAGGUGUGCUGUGAGGCAUGCUGGAGGUAUCAGAAGUGCGAAUGCUGACAUAAGUAACGAUAAAGCGGGUGAAAAGCCCGCUCGCCGGAAGACCAAGGGUUCCUGUCCAACGUUAAUCGGGGCAGGGUGAGUCGACCCCUAAGGCGAGGCCGAAAGGCGUAGUCGAUGGGAAACAGGUUAAUAUUCCUGUACUUGGUGUUACUGCGAAGGGGGGACGGAGAAGGCUAUGUUGGCCGGGCGACGGUUGUCCCGGUUUAAGCGUGUAGGCUGGUUUUCCAGGCAAAUCCGGAAAAUCAAGGCUGAGGCGUGAUGACGAGGCACUACGGUGCUGAAGCAACAAAUGCCCUGCUUCCAGGAAAAGCCUCUAAGCAUCAGGUAACAUCAAAUCGUACCCCAAACCGACACAGGUGGUCAGGUAGAGAAUACCAAGGCGCUUGAGAGAACUCGGGUGAAGGAACUAGGCAAAAUGGUGCCGUAACUUCGGGAGAAGGCACGCUGAUAUGUAGGUGAAGUCCCUCGCGGAUGGAGCUGAAAUCAGUCGAAGAUACCAGCUGGCUGCAACUGUUUAUUAAAAACACAGCACUGUGCAAACACGAAAGUGGACGUAUACGGUGUGACGCCUGCCCGGUGCCGGAAGGUUAAUUGAUGGGGUUAGCGCAAGCGAAGCUCUUGAUCGAAGCCCCGGUAAACGGCGGCCGUAACUAUAACGGUCCUAAGGUAGCGAAAUUCCUUGUCGGGUAAGUUCCGACCUGCACGAAUGGCGUAAUGAUGGCCAGGCUGUCUCCACCCGAGACUCAGUGAAAUUGAACUCGCUGUGAAGAUGCAGUGUACCCGCGGCAAGACGGAAAGACCCCGUGAACCUUUACUAUAGCUUGACACUGAACAUUGAGCCUUGAUGUGUAGGAUAGGUGGGAGGCUUUGAAGUGUGGACGCCAGUCUGCAUGGAGCCGACCUUGAAAUACCACCCUUUAAUGUUUGAUGUUCUAACGUGGACCCGUAAUCCGGGUUGCGGACAGUGUCUGGUGGGUAGUUUGACUGGGGCGGUCUCCUCCUAAAGAGUAACGGAGGAGCACGAAGGUUGGCUAAUCCUGGUCGGACAUCAGGAGGUUAGUGCAAUGGCAUAAGCCAGCUUGACUGCGAGCGUGACGGCGCGAGCAGGUGCGAAAGCAGGUCAUAGUGAUCCGGUGGUUCUGAAUGGAAGGGCCAUCGCUCAACGGAUAAAAGGUACUCCGGGGAUAACAGGCUGAUACCGCCCAAGAGUUCAUAUCGACGGCGGUGUUUGGCACCUCGAUGUCGGCUCAUCACAUCCUGGGGCUGAAGUAGGUCCCAAGGGU